Long non-coding RNA from Octopus sinensis (East Asian common octopus), 570 nucleotides. RefSeq lists it as uncharacterized. The transcript is spliced from 2 exons. The record is from RefSeq and is a predicted model, not a curated record. Lineage: Eukaryota; Metazoa; Mollusca; Cephalopoda; Octopoda; Octopodidae.
UAAAACUCACAUACACGCACACACACACACAGAGACAUGCACGCACACACAUCCACCACACCAUUGCUUACAUGCACACCCACUCAGAGUACACCAUUGCUAAAAUACACAAACACACAUUCACUACACAAACAUUGAACGCACUAAUGCUAAAAUGCACACACACACACACACACACACACCAAACCCAAAAUACUAAAAUUUAUCUUUCAUGCAUUUCGCUUUUAAGAAAAUGUUGUCGUUCCAUUUGUGUCCCAUUGCUGUGAUGUGGUAGAAUUCGAACCUUCAUACAAUCUCUCUCUCUCUCUCUCUCUUUCUCACUUCCGUAGUGCCUUCUUUAAUCUGUUUUCGUCUGCUGCUAGUUCUUCUACUUUGCCAACCAGUUUCCACAGUGUCUGUUGUAGUUUGCUUUGCCAUGCUAGAAAUAGCAACCAAACCCAAACUCCUUCAAAUCUCUCCUCGUAUGACUGUUUUGAAAAAAAAUUACAAAAAAAAAGGAAAAGAGAAAAAUUAAAUGAAGAACAUCUUAGACAUUCUAGUCCUAGAUAUAUAUAUAUACACACACACACA